UGUUUGCACUACAUGGCAAUUAAUUGCUUUGUUGGUUGAUAAUUUUAAUAUGUUUUUCUAGCAUUUGCUCAUGUCCCAGAAACUAUAUGUCACCUUACAAAUAAUUAUGAAUAUUGGAAGCAAGAGGCGGAAGAGAAGGUUUGGGCAUUGUUAAUUGUAGUCUAUUUGACUGAGAUAUGUUAUUGAAAACAAAACUAUUACUUGAAAGAUAUUUAUGCAUGACCCAGUCGAUAUAUAGUUCCUGUAAGAAAUCAUUCAUCAAAGUAUUAGGCAAUGAUGCCAAAGUUCUUGGCAGUUUUGCGUGGCGAAUAGUGUGAUACAAGUUUUGCUUUGUGUCAUGUUGGAUUUAACUUCCGGUUUAGUCUAGGUCGUCGUUCACGUUGUGUUUAGGACGGCAGUCAUGGUGUUUUAGAAAUAAAGUUCGUAAACCAUAUGUUAUGGUAGGGGUAUACCCUACCAACCAUGAAAUACUUGCCUCCCCCCCCCACCCCCACCCUUGAGAUGCUGUUUUAUUAAAGGUACAGCUAGGUUAUUAUCACGAGAGGCUGUCACUGUUCACUGUUUUGUUAAUUAAUUUUUUUUCCUAGGAUGAAUUACUUCGACAAGCCAAACAUAAUUCCUCUACAUCGCUACCUGCUUCUCAUUAACAAACAAUAAAACAUGGAAGCUGUUGUUUUUGUAGAAUGCCCAUCAUGAUGGUGGCUAUUAAUUGAAAAUGAGUUAAUAUGUACAUAGUCUUCUAAGUUUAUAUUGGUAUCUCUGAAAAGCAAAGAGUAUAAAUAUGUUAUAAAUAUAAAUAUAUAUAUAAAUAUAUAAAUAAAUAUAAAAAUAUAUUUAAAUUACUCUCUUUUUAGUGAAAGGUCACACGACCUUUGCACUUUUGUAGCGAGAGGAAAUACACAUCAGUGACUAUACAAUCAAUAGAUUAAUUGAGUAAACAACCCUGGCAGCUUGCAAAUAAUAUUCGUUAGCUAUUUUGUCUCAUUUAGUCUGUGGCAGAUUUGUGCAAUUGUGCGUUUUCAGGUAAAAGCCUAAAAUUUUGCACAGAUAUAGAUAUACAAUAUUGCAUGGGUAUGGAUCACAAAUCUUUCCUAUUGAUCUUGUAAAAAACUGGUGUUAAUUAAAGGGAAAUGGCAAUGUAAAUUUUUAUUUUCUUAGUUGAAGUAAUUCACCGAUUUUUCCUGUCUUGCUUAGUUCAUGAAAUAUUUUCACUUGAACUAAUGAGAUGUCCGCCAUCUUGGAUAAAUUUUUGAUUUCAUUAACGGUAGUUUUAGUAACGUCACAACAGGAUUAUGUCUAGUUAAAAUAUGAGCGAGCCGAAGGCGAGAGUUUGUAUAUCAGAUGAAGAUCGGAUGCGAAAUCAAUGUUUUAACAACGACUCAUCUUUUAGUUCAUUGGCGAAGUAAUUUUAAAAAUAAACAUUUUUAAAAAUAAACAUUGUUUAAAAUAAACAUAGUUUGAGGGAAAAUCAAAGCUGAAGUUUAUGUAAAUCAGAACUAAUUUUUAUCCGAUUUACAAACAUUGAUUGACCAAAUAUUGUAGAUGUUUUAAAGGUUUUGAAUGAUCUUGAUCUUUCGAAGGGCAGACAGAAUAUAGUUUUGAGUGAAAAAUCGUUAGUGGUUGCCUAGCUAAAAAUGUUGCGUGAUCUCUGUUGUGUCGUGCAUACAUAUCUACUACAAAAAAUGAAGAUGGCUGACAUUUCAUUCCUUUCGAUCAAAAUAUUUGUGGAAGUAAGAUAUGAAAAAACGGUGAAAGAGUAUUACAUAUACUCUUUAUAAAAGUUCUUUCAAAUGAGAAAAUAAAAAAUAUAUUGCCAUUUCCUUUUACGGUAUUUUCUGCUAGAGUACUAUCUGGUAAAAAUGCAAAAUUUUCUCGUUAAUUUUUGCAAAAACAAACACAUCCAUACCAUUUUAGAGAUGAAAAGUAAUUAAGCGAUUGUUUCGAUUUUUGAACUUGUAACGUGCCGAGUACUCCACUGAUUACAAAAAUCAACAUACUCACCAAUUUAUUUGGCAAUUUAAAGAGUCUUGGUCAACCACAAUGCAAUGGGCGCUUUUGUUUACGUUUUCCCGUUACUUUUCUCAAUUGUUGCCGCCAUUUUCGAUGUCACCAUCCUCGUCACAAAAAUGGCUGCCUCUGGCUCACAACGUAACAGAAACGUAAACAAACGUACGCAUUGCAUUGUGGUUGACCAGGACUCUUGAGUUGUGGACGCUUAAGGCUAGUUUCCACUCAGGAAAAUUAUCCGUGGAUUGGAACGGACAAGAAAAUUUUUCUUUGUCUUGUGAGCUCUGGCCCUGUUACACGGUGCAAUUUUUCAUGCAACUUGUCUCGCAAGUCGCAAUGGCGUUGCAAGACAAGUUGCACGAGUCAUUGCACCGUUUAACAUGUCUUGCAAAGGGUCAAAAUCUUUGCGAGACAAGUUGCAUGAAGCAUUGCACAGAGUAGAAGUUUGUUCUACUUUUGUCAACGAUUGCACUAAUUAUUUUUAGCAUUGCAGCGUGUAACAUGGCUUCGUGCAACUUGUCUCGCAAUGUUUAUUGCUUGGAGAGUUCCUAUUGGCUCUCCCCAGUACACGCUUUACUUUAAUUAAAAUUUGGCGCCAAAUAGCGCCUCUCCUUAGUCUCUUCGCAUACCUCUGUCCCCUAUCGUUGCGAGUUGCAUGAAAAUCAUUGCAGUGUGUAACACCUCUUGCAACGUAUUAUCAAAAUCUUUUUUUAAACGUUGCGGGACAAGUUGCAUGAAUAAUUGCACCGUGUAAAAACUUCGUAGAAAGUGCUUGCUUUGCAUAAUUUAUGCACACUUAUUCCACCGGCACAGUUGUUUAUAUUAAAUUCAAAAUAGAGUUAGAAAAUCGUACUACGCGCCGGAACAUUUCUUUAUUGCAAAGAUAAUACUAUUAAAAUGGACUUUUUCCGGGUGACGGUUAGAUUUCUAUCAUCUCUAUAUCUGUUCAAAUUUGGUGCUUUCACCAUAAAAUGCAGAAUUGUUUCACGAAUCUGCUGGACCGGUUGUUCAAAAACCGGUUGACUUAACCCUAAAGCCUGGUUCACAUAUGCCUGCGACUGUAUCAUUAUGGCUAUUAGUAAAACACGGAGCACACGGAGUACGGAGCACACGGAGCACGGAGCACACGAACUACGGAGCAGUAGAAAAACGAAAAUCCUUUAUAAUAAAAUACACUGUUUACUACAAAUUUUUAUUACAAAUUUUUGUUCUUAUUAAUAAAGUUUUUUCGCGUUUUACACGUUGAAGAAGUAGAAAAAUGGGGCUUUUACUGCAC
This is a non-coding RNA of Paramuricea clavata, 3283 nucleotides long. The record is from the annotation of a GenBank genome assembly. NCBI's taxonomy places the organism in Eukaryota, Metazoa, Cnidaria, Anthozoa, Malacalcyonacea, Plexauridae.